GAUGAACGCUAGCGGCAGGCCUAAUACAUGCAAGUCGAGGGGCAGCAGGGAUAGCAAUAUUCGCUGGCGACCGGCGCACGGGUGCGUAACACGUAUACAAUCUGCCUUUAACUGGGGGAUAGCCCGGAGAAAUCCGGAUUAAUACCCCAUAAUAAUUUGACUGGCAUCAGUUAGAUUUGAAAGCUCCGGCGGUUAGAGAUGAGUAUGCGACUGAUUAGCUAGUUGGUGAGGUAACGGCUCACCAAGGCAACGAUCAGUA
RNAcentral lists this ribosomal RNA (259 nucleotides) under uncultured bacterium. Its description in RNAcentral is "partial 16S ribosomal RNA". It matches the Rfam family "Bacterial small subunit ribosomal RNA", at positions 28 to 285 of the family's 1533-position model. The record is from RNAcentral.